CAACCCUCAAGCUGAGCUUGGUAUUGGGUGUCACCGUCACGGUGCGCCUUAAAAUCAGUGGCGGUGCCAUCUGGCUUCAAGCGUAGUAAUACUUCUCGCUCUGGAGGUCCAGGUGGUUGCUUGCCAAAACCCCAUACUUUUCAAAGG
RNAcentral lists this unclassified non-coding RNA (147 nucleotides) under uncultured Helotiales. Its description in RNAcentral is "sequence contains ITS2". The record is from RNAcentral. Lineage: Eukaryota; Fungi; Ascomycota; Leotiomycetes; Helotiales.